AAAUAAUGUAAUACACGAUUUUGGCCCGGGCAAAAGGCCCAAAAUACAAAUGGGCCGAUGUGGCCAAACCAAACUACAGAGGUCCAAAACCAAUGGCCCAAAAUCAUCAGAAACCCUAGGGUUUCUAAUCUUCAGCCGCCACAACCACCAAGCAUCCGUACCACCUCGCACGAGCCUCGUACCUGCAAAGCAAAGAAGAAACAAAGCAAUAUAUGGCAAGAAAAUAUUGAAAUCGAAUCAAGCAGAUAUAGAAAGAUUUCUUUUUACUUUUUCUUGUUUCAUGAUUGCUAUAAAAGCAAUCUCAAUACACUGUAAAAGGGGGGGCAAAAACAUUGUAUUGAAAAAUUAAAAACGAAAAUACAAGAGAGAAAAAGACUACUGAGAAUUCAGAAAAUAAAAGGUGAAACACCAUUGUUAACGAUUUUUAUUUUUUUUCUUUGCUUAUUCUCUUUUCGGUUUUUUUUUCUUUUUUUGGUUAAUAUCUACUAGUUAUUUAAGAAAAGAAACAAAAGGCUAAAGUUUACCUUAUCGACGCCGUCGAACCCUCGUCGCUUCGUCGCAG
This 562-nucleotide long non-coding RNA is filed under the name Gossypium barbadense (sea-island cotton). Its description in RNAcentral is "long non-coding RNA (GBAR_LNC017799)". The record is from RNAcentral. Lineage: Eukaryota; Viridiplantae; Streptophyta; Magnoliopsida; Malvales; Malvaceae.